CUGCUUCUUUGGCUCGCGGUUUCGAGUGCUUCCAAUAUGGGCCGCGGUCCUUCCCCGUGUAGGAGUUGUCAAGGAUCCCAUUAUGGAGUUUCCUCCCGUGGUCACGGUUCUUCCGCGCCUGAGUUUGGCAUUCAGGGCAGGAGCUCCUGGUUGUCUUCAGCUGGGUUGGGCUCGUUUGGUGUGGUUGUGUGGUCCGUGCAUUAGGGGUGCCCAAGGGGAACCCCCUCUGUCCCUGCCUUUUGUCUCUCCACUUGUGGUUCUUUG
Molecule: non-coding RNA, 264 nt
Organism: Pelobates cultripes (western spadefoot toad)
Lineage: Eukaryota; Metazoa; Chordata; Amphibia; Anura; Pelobatidae
Source: the annotation of a GenBank genome assembly